RNAcentral lists this ribosomal RNA (305 nucleotides) under uncultured bacterium. Its description in RNAcentral is "bacterial SSU rRNA". It matches the Rfam family "Bacterial small subunit ribosomal RNA", at positions 334 to 631 of the family's 1533-position model. The record is from RNAcentral.
UAGCCUACGGGACGCAGCAGUGGGGAAUCUUCCGCAAUGGGCGCAAGCCUGACGGAGCAAUGCCGCGUGAACGAAGAAGGUCUUCGGAUUGUAAAGUUCUGUCCUUAUCGAAAAGAGGGUAUAGAGUGAAAAAUGAUAUGCUAGGACGGUAGAUGAGGAGGAAGCCCCGGCUAACUACGUGCCAGCAGCCGCGGUAAUGCGUAGGGGGCGAGCGUUGUCCGGAAUCACUGGGCGUAAAGGGCGCGUAGGCGGUAAUAUAAGUCAGAUGUGAAAGGUGGGGGCUCAACCCCUCGAGUGCCACUGAU